This 521-nucleotide ribosomal RNA is filed under the name uncultured bacterium. RNAcentral's name for it is "bacterial SSU rRNA". It matches the Rfam family "Bacterial small subunit ribosomal RNA", at positions 61 to 571 of the family's 1533-position model. The record is from RNAcentral.
GUCGAGCGGUAACAGAGAUAGCUUGCUAUCUGCUGACGAGCGGCGGACGGGUGAGUAAUGCUUGGGAAUAUGCCUUUGAGUGGGGGACAACAGUUGGAAACGACUGCUAAUACCGCAUAACGUCUACGGACCAAAGGGGGGGAUGCUUCGGCACCUCUCGCUCAUUGAUUAGCCCAAGUGAGAUUAGCUAGUUGGUAAGGUAAUGGCUUACCAAGGCGACGAUCUCUAGCUGGUUUGAGAGGAUGAUCAGCCACACUGGGACUGAGACACGGCCCAGACUCCUACGGGAGGCAGCAGUGGGGAAUAUUGCACAAUGGGCGAAAGCCUGAUGCAGCCAUGCCGCGUGUGUGAAGAAGGCCUUCGGGUUGUAAAGCACUUUCAGCGAGGAGGAAAGGUUAGUAGUUAAUAGCUGCUAGCUGUGACGUUACUCGCAGAAGAAGCACCGGCUAACUUCGUGCCAGCAGCCGCGGUAAUACGAGGGGUGCAAGCGUUAAUCGGAAUUACUGGGCGUAAAGCGUGCG